This 17-nucleotide small RNA is filed under the name Arabidopsis thaliana (thale cress). Its description in RNAcentral is "ATSL108420". The record is from RNAcentral. Lineage: Eukaryota; Viridiplantae; Streptophyta; Magnoliopsida; Brassicales; Brassicaceae.
AGUUGUUGGUCUUUCAU